GACGAACGCUGGCGGCGUGCUUAACACAUGCAAGUCGAACGGAAAGGCCCUGCUUUUGUGGGGUGCUCGAGUGGCGAACGGGUGAGUAACACGUGAGUAACCUGCCCUUGACUUUGGGAUAACUUCAGGAAACUGGGGCUAAUACCGGAUAGGAGCUCCUGCUGCAUGGUGGGGGUUGGAAAGUUUCGGCGGUUGGGGCUGGACUCGCGGCUUAUCAGCUUGUUGGUGGGGUAGUGGCUUACCAAGGCUUUGACGGGUAGCCGGCCUGAGAGGGUGACCGGGCACAUUGGGACUGAGGUACGGCCCAGACUCCUACGGGAGGCAGCAGUGGGGAAUAUUGCAUAAUGGGCGGAAGCCUGAUGCAGCAACGCCGCGUGCGGGAUGACGGCCUUCGGGUUGUAAACCGCUUUCGCCUGUGACGAAGCGUGAGUGACGGUAAUGGGUAAAGAAGCACCGGCUAACUACGUG
This 468-nucleotide ribosomal RNA is filed under the name uncultured bacterium. RNAcentral's name for it is "partial 16S ribosomal RNA". It matches the Rfam family "Bacterial small subunit ribosomal RNA", at positions 28 to 507 of the family's 1533-position model. The record is from RNAcentral.